This 239-nucleotide long non-coding RNA is filed under the name Manihot esculenta (cassava). Its description in RNAcentral is "long non-coding RNA (MESC_LNC011528)". The record is from RNAcentral. Lineage: Eukaryota; Viridiplantae; Streptophyta; Magnoliopsida; Malpighiales; Euphorbiaceae.
UUUACAAUACAUGUCCACAUCUAACUAUUACAUAAAACAUGACUCCUUUACUCUUGUUGACUUCCUGAUCUAUCCCGUACCUGCAAACCUGGGGGUUAAGGGAAUGGGGUGAGCUACUAGAGCCCAGUGAGCAGAAUAGUAAAAACAUUAUAUUAAAAUUCAUGCUUUCAUGAAAUGCAUCACAUCACAAACAAAUCACAUCAAGGAUGGACUUGUCACCAAUAGCCCUCUACACAUUC